Molecule: ribosomal RNA, 306 nt
Filed under: Crepidotus eucalyptinus
Lineage: Eukaryota; Fungi; Basidiomycota; Agaricomycetes; Agaricales; Crepidotaceae
Description: eukaryotic LSU rRNA
Rfam family: Eukaryotic large subunit ribosomal RNA
Source: RNAcentral
CUAGUAACUGCGAGUGAAGCGGGAAAAGCUCAAAUUUAAAAUCUGGCAGUCUUUGGUUGCCCGAGUUGUAAUCUAGAGAAGUGUUACCCGCGUUGGACCGUGUACAAGUCUCCUGGAAUGGAGCGUCAUAGAGGGUGAGAAUCCCGUCUUUGACACGGACUGCCAAGGCUUUGUGGUGCGCUCUCAAAGAGUCGAGUUGUUUGGGAAUGCAGCUCAAAAUGGGUGGUAAAUGCCAUCUAAAGCUAAAUAUAGGCGAGAGACCGAUACCGAACAAGUACCGUGAGGGAAAGAUGAAAAGAACUUUGG